This 753-nucleotide ribosomal RNA is filed under the name uncultured bacterium. RNAcentral describes it as "bacterial SSU rRNA". The stretch from base 119 to 753 matches the Rfam family "Bacterial small subunit ribosomal RNA", at positions 874 to 1501 of the family's 1533-position model. The record is from RNAcentral.
UAAGACCUAUAAUGUGGGGACACACAUUGAUUUAAUUUCCUUGGUAUUCCCACGUCUAUAAACGUAGAUACUAGUCGGCCACCCGUUUCUGAUUCACCUCUUUUACGCUUCCCCCCCUUGAGUAGUACCGUUCGCAAGGCUUGAAACUUAAAGGAAUGGACCGGCACCCCGCACCAAGCGGUGGAGCAUGCUGUUUAAUCGACGAUACGCGAAAAACCUUACCUAGAUUUGACAUCCCGAUGACCGUCCUAGAAAUAGGGCUUUCUCUCGGAGACAUCGGUGACAGGUGGUGCAUGGUUGUCGUCAGCUCGUGUCGUGAGAUGUUCGGUUAAGUCCGAUAACGAGCGCAACCCUUGUCCUUAAUUGCUAACAUUAAGUUGAGAACCUUAAGGAGACUAUCGGUGAUAAACCGGAGGAAGGUGGGGAUGACGUCAAAUCAUCAUGCCCCUUACAUCUAGGGCUACAGGCGUGCUACAAUGGCCAAGAUAAUGAGACGCAAAAUACCGUGAGGUGGAGCAAAUCUUCAAAAUUGGUCCCAGUUCGGACUGGAGUCUGCAACUCGACUCCACGAAGUUGGAAUCGCUAGUAAUCCCGAAUCAGAAUGUCGGGGUGAAUACGUUCCCGGGUGUUGUACACACCGCCCGUCACGCCAUGGGAGUUGGUAAUACCCGAAGCUGGUAGCCUAACCUGUUUACAGGAGGGGGCCAUCGAAGGUAGGAUCAGCGACUGGGGUGAAGUCGUAACAAGGGACCU